This is a non-coding RNA of Phoenix dactylifera (date palm), 713 nucleotides long. The record is from RefSeq and is a predicted model, not a curated record. NCBI's taxonomy places the organism in Eukaryota, Viridiplantae, Streptophyta, Magnoliopsida, Arecales, Arecaceae.
UCGCGAUCCCGCGGGUGAUUGUGUUCGCGAUCCCAGCAAGAAGCUUUGAUCCCGAUCCGCGGGCGAUCGUGUUCGCGAUCCCGGCGAAAAAGCUUCUCCAAAAGCAAGGCAUGAGCUCAAGGGCUUCCCCGCCCGUCGCUAUGGAACCGAGGUCAUGAGGAUUUUGUUCUCUUGUCUGUGCGUCGGUGAACGUAGCGAAGGUAGUAAAUCCCCCGCCGUGUUUGGGAGACCCGAUAUUCGUUUGAGGUUUCAGACAAAAACGAGGCCAUAAAGAUUUGCCUCCCUCAAAAAAAUAUAGAUUUGCCCUCCACUUUCAGAUUGGUUUUCUUUGUGUUUAUCUGAGGAGAAAGUAACGUGAGAUAAUGGGGAUGAAUUACUUAUGAGCAAAGAAGUCUUGGAGACGGAUUGCUUGGAUGCUAGUCGCGGGCGGAUCGCGGGCAAUCCCACGGAAUCACGGGCGAUCACGAUCGCGAUCAAUCUCCUUUCUUUGUCCCUGUUUCUCCCUAUUUCUUUCUUCCUGUUUCUUUCUAUUUCUUUAUCCCUCUUUCUCCUUGUUUCUCCCUGUUUCUUUCUCCUUGUUUCUCGCUGUUUCCAUAAUAUUUAAAGGAGCUCUGCUGUUUGGGAUUGAAGAAUACCGGUUGAUGUCUGAGAAAGUGAAGCUGUUGUUUCUAAACGCCAUGGUUUCUGAAUGUUAAUUUCUAAAAUUCUUUUCU